GGAGUAGCCUUCUAAGCCGGAGGUCGCGGGUUCGAAUCCCGCCGGGCCCGCCA
Molecule: transfer RNA, 53 nt
Filed under: Thermococcus gammatolerans EJ3
Lineage: Archaea; Methanobacteriati; Methanobacteriota; Thermococci; Thermococcales; Thermococcaceae
Description: tRNA-Ser (CGA) (tRNA-Ser-CGA-2-1)
Source: RNAcentral